UACGUAGGGUGCGAGCGUUAAUCGGAAUUACUGGGCGUAAAGCGUGCGCAGGCGGUUUUGUAAGCCAGAUGUGAAAUCCCCGGGCUUAACCUGGGAAUGGCAUUUGGGACUGCAAGGCUGGAGUGCGGCAGAGGAGACUGGAAUUCCUGGUGUAGCAGUGAAAUGCGUAGAUAUCAGGAGGAACACCGAUGGCGAAGGCAGGUCUCUGGGCUGACACUGACGCUCAUGCCCGAAAGCGUGGGGAGCAAACAGG
RNAcentral lists this ribosomal RNA (253 nucleotides) under uncultured bacterium. RNAcentral describes it as "partial 16S ribosomal RNA". It matches the Rfam family "Bacterial small subunit ribosomal RNA", at positions 524 to 776 of the family's 1533-position model. The record is from RNAcentral.